RNAcentral lists this long non-coding RNA (1570 nucleotides) under Canis lupus familiaris (dog). Its description in RNAcentral is "lncRNA (ENSCAFG00000057952.1)". The record is from RNAcentral. Lineage: Eukaryota; Metazoa; Chordata; Mammalia; Carnivora; Canidae.
AUGAGGGUGGAGCCCCAGGGUGGAUUAGUGCCCUUAUAUGGAGAGGAAGGGACACCAGCACUUUCUUCUCCACCACGUGAGGACCCGGUGAGGAGUGAGAGGCCUCCCUGGAGCCCACCCUGCUGCCACCCAACCCCCAACUUCCAACUUCCAGGACGAGAUGAGCAAGACCUGAUUCCUGUCCCUAAGGAGAGGCUUCCGGGUGGACUGGACGUGAGUCAUCACCUGAAGUUUGAGAUGUUGACCCCACAGGGUCCCCCUCACAGGUUCCAAGGGACGGGACUUUUGGGAAGGGGGACCCUGGUCAGGCCAACAGACAGUGAAGAUUCGGAGCUCCCAGGCAGGAGGAGGGCCACACGUGCAGACAGGCCGGCCAGCAGGAGCGGAGGUCGGAGGCUCUCAGACCCACCCGUUCUCUCCAGCCUCGGGGUCACGGCCAGCCAGCCUGCCUCUCACACUAGUGGGACCAGGGCAAGAAUUCGGGGCACAGGGGUCGCAGAACCCACGUUCGGAAACCCUCCAGUGAGAACCAGCUGCUGCUGCCCAGUGCACUCUGGGCUCCCGUCCAGCCCCCCACUCCGGCCGCAGACACAGGGAGCAUCGGGCCGGGGCGGCCUCACAGCCCAGGAUGGAUCCUAACCCACGCAGGGAGGACGUGCGCGGCAGGGAGCCCUCGGAGGCUGGCGGCUGCUCCCCAGGUGCGCCCUGUGCCUCUCGCCUGGGAGCUCCACCCGAGGGAGCCCGACGCCCUGUCCCCACAAAACGCGCGUCCCAAUAUUAACAGCAGCAGUGUUUCUAAUUUCCAAAAUGUGGAAUCAACCCAAAUGUCCAUGGACUGAUGGCGGCUGAGACGGCCGAAGCUCUCCACCCGCUGGAAUUCCGUCACCUGCAGCAGGGGCGAGGCCCCCACGAACCCCGGCGGACCCCCAGCCACGCGCUCGGCGAGGGAGCCACACACAGGAGGCCCCACGGGGUGGCAGGACGGCUCGUCCACGGAGAGGGGCUGGGCGCUGGGGACGGGAAGGGAUGGGGCUUCUUUUUGGGGAGAUGGAAUGUUCUAAUGUGGAUGGUGGUGGAUGCCGAGUGCUGUGAAUAUUUUUUUAAAAAUCACUGAACUGUGCACUUUUGGGCGAGAAUUGUAUGCUAUGUGACUUUGUGACUUGUAUCUCAAUAAAGUUGUUGGGGAAUCCCAGCUGCAGUCCUGGGACACCCUCCCCUUGGUGGAUCUGAUUGCCGCCUCCCUCUCCACAUCUGGGCUGCGUCCGGGACUCGCCACUCGUGGGGACCCCCUGCCCACCGCAGGACCAGAUCCCACGUAAGACGUCCCGCUGCGCUGCAGCCGUGGGGACGUGGGACCCCACGGACCGGGAGAGGGGGUGGCUCAGGCCCCAGCCUGGCCCGCCCGCGAGCUGGACGCCACCCAGGGACCCCAUCGACCCGCCUGGGACAGAGGACCUCCCCUCUGAGCCCCACUCCCGACUCCCGGAACUGUGAGACGUAAGCCAGUCUGUAGCUGUUACCCCGAGACAGACCCGGACCCACGUCUCGGAAGCUCCCGGGAAGCCUGAAG